UGCCGGCCGAGUGCAGCGGUGUUUACAACCAACCGUCAGUUACGGAUCUCUUUGUUCCUUCUCCACGCCAACGGCUUCACUCGACGAGCCUUAA
Cercocebus atys (sooty mangabey) is the source of this 94-nucleotide unclassified non-coding RNA. It matches the Rfam family "Y RNA". Rfam says of the family: Y RNAs are components of the Ro ribonucleoprotein particle (Ro RNP), in association with Ro60 and La proteins. The Y RNAs and Ro60 and La proteins are well conserved, but the function of the Ro RNP is not known. Lineage: Eukaryota; Metazoa; Chordata; Mammalia; Primates; Cercopithecidae. The record is from Ensembl.